GGUACCGUGGCCGAGUGGUUAGGUAGCGGUCUGCAAAACCGCGUACAGCAGUUCGAUUCUGCUCGGUACCUC
RNAcentral lists this transfer RNA (72 nucleotides) under Bacteroidia bacterium. RNAcentral's name for it is "tRNA-Cys". It matches the Rfam family "tRNA". From Rfam's summary of the family: Transfer RNA (tRNA) molecules are approximately 80 nucleotides in length. The record is from RNAcentral. Lineage: Bacteria; Pseudomonadati; Bacteroidota; Bacteroidia.